Molecule: ribosomal RNA, 253 nt
Filed under: uncultured bacterium
Lineage: Bacteria
Description: partial 16S ribosomal RNA
Rfam family: Bacterial small subunit ribosomal RNA
Source: RNAcentral
UACGUAGGGGGCAAGCGUUGUCCGGAUUUAUUGGGCGUAAAGAGCGUGUAGGCGGUUUGGUAGGUCCGCUGUGAAAACUCGAGGCUCAACCUCGAGACGCCGGUGGAAACCAUCAGACUAGAGUCCGGAAGAGGAGAGUGGAAUUCCUGGUGUAGCGGUGAAAUGCGUAGAUAUCUGGAGGAACACCGGUGGCGAAGGCGGCAUCCUGGACCGGCAUUGACGCUGAGGAGCGAAAGCCAGGGGAGCAAACGGG